Molecule: unclassified non-coding RNA, 446 nt
Filed under: Hevea brasiliensis (rubber tree)
Lineage: Eukaryota; Viridiplantae; Streptophyta; Magnoliopsida; Malpighiales; Euphorbiaceae
Source: RNAcentral
CCUGUAAAUAGUCAAGAUCAGGAAUUGGCUUGUACUCUGACACUAGCGCUGUGCCCGAUCCUGCAGUGAGAGAUUGGGCUUGAGUAGGAAUUUCAGUAGUGAUCUCAUCAGACCCAUACAUAUAUGCAUCAUCACCGACUUGAUUCCUCCAGCCACUUUUAUCCCCUUGUCUUCUAAUAAACACACAAAGCCACGUGGGUGCUGAGGAGAGCGGAUUCGGCGAUCGCCGAAUCCGCUCUCCUCAGCACCCACGUGGCUUUGUGUGUUUAUUAGAAGACAAGGGGAUAAAAGUGGCUGGAGGAAUCAAGUCGGUGAUGAUGCAUAUAUGUAUGGGUCUGAUGAGAUCACUACUGAAAUUCCUACUCAAGCCCAAUCUCUCACUGCAGGAUCGGGCACAGCGCUAGUGUCAGAGUACAAGCCAAUUCCUGAUCUUGACUAUUUACAGG